Molecule: long non-coding RNA, 356 nt
Organism: Culex quinquefasciatus (southern house mosquito)
Lineage: Eukaryota; Metazoa; Arthropoda; Insecta; Diptera; Culicidae
Exons: 2
Source: RefSeq, a predicted model, not a curated record
UAUCAAUCUUCACACUGUCCUCUCACUUUUUAUUGAAACACUGCCAUGAGCAGGAGUUCUUGCAGUAGCAUAAAAUCCUGAGUAAUUCUUCGGAUGCUCGAACCCAAAAAAAAAAAACGAAUAAAAAUGAAGUGGAAUCGCUUAUUUGCCUCCGAUAAGAAGCAGUCCGCUUCUUCAGGAAACGGUGUCAUUCAGUUAACAAAGAAGAAGCCAUGCUGCAGCAAAUGCGCAACGCUUUGCAAGUGCAAACGCCACCGUAGAACGUUGCGACUGCUUCCGGUGGGACAACUGAUGGGCGGAAUUCUACCCUAAAUGAUGUCUUUUUUGAACUAAAUAAAGUGUGAUUCGCAGUAGAA